This 862-nucleotide long non-coding RNA is filed under the name Equus caballus (horse). Its description in RNAcentral is "lncRNA (ENSECAG00000046365.1)". Lineage: Eukaryota; Metazoa; Chordata; Mammalia; Perissodactyla; Equidae. The record is from RNAcentral.
CUGGCACGUAGGCAGCAGCCCAAGAGGGCUGAUGCUUACACUUUGCCGUUUCUUUUCCCUGUCCCUGUGCCAGGACCCAUGCAUCUGAGCUCCUGCCAGCCAGACGUGCGCUGUCUCCCCUCCAGGGAUGGAGGUGCCCUGGUGGGGGCAGAGGUGUGCUGUGGGAAGAUUAACCCUGAGCUAACAUCUGCCACCAAUCCUCCUCUUUUUGCUGAGGAAGACUGGCCCUGAGCUAACAUCUGUGCCCAUCUUCUUCUACUUUAUAUGUGGGACGCCUACCACAGCAUGGCUUGUCAAGCGGUGCCAUGUCCACACCCGGGAUCUGAACUGGCAAACCCCGGGCUGCCAAAGAGGAACGUGCGCACUUAACUGCUGCGCCACUGGGCCGGCCCUGUGAUUAUUUACUAUGAGUUCUUUAUAUAUUCUGCAUGUUAUAAAAGUCUAUUCUUGGGAGCAGCACAAACGCAAGGUGCCCAGGAUUGACCAGAACGGCAUCAAGCCCAGUCACCUUCCCCAUCGUCUGAGGCCGACUGUGCACCCCAGCCUGGCAGGCUCCGUGACUCUGAGUUAAGAAUACUCAUAGCUGGCUUGUCUCCACUGCUCACUGUCCGCUGGCGCCCUGUCUGAGCUCAUUCAAUCUCUCAGCAUCCUUGGGGCAUGCCUCUUCGGGCUACGAACCUCCCCCAGCGCUGCCUCCACCUGUGGGAGGUCAGAAUGAAUGCUGAGCUUUGAGCAGCAGACAGAAUUGCCAGCUCCCGGCACAUUCGCGUUGCACAGCAAUGACCCUCAUCAUGGACAACACCGCCUGCAGGCUGACUCUCUUCCAGGCUUUGGGUCAAGUUCUUCCCACGCAUUAUCCUAU